UACGUAGGGGGCAAGCGUUAAUCGGAAUUACUGGGCGUAAAGUGUGCGCAGGUGGCCGAGCAAGUCGAGUGUGAAAUCCCCGAGCUUAACUUGGGAAUUGCGCUCGAAACUACUUGGCUCGAGUGUGGCAGAGGAAGGUGGAAUUCCACGUGUAGCGGUGAAAUGCAUAGAGAUGUGGAGGAACACCGAUGGCGAAGGCAGGCCUCCUGGGCCAACACUGACGCUCAUGCACGAAAGCGUGGGGAGCAAACAGG
This 254-nucleotide ribosomal RNA is filed under the name uncultured bacterium. RNAcentral describes it as "partial 16S ribosomal RNA". It matches the Rfam family "Bacterial small subunit ribosomal RNA", at positions 524 to 776 of the family's 1533-position model. The record is from RNAcentral.